This 294-nucleotide long non-coding RNA is filed under the name Paramuricea clavata. Lineage: Eukaryota; Metazoa; Cnidaria; Anthozoa; Malacalcyonacea; Plexauridae. The record is from RNAcentral.
GUGUACAGGGUGUCCCAAAAAGAAGUGACACUAUAGAAAUUAUCCUAUUGUUAUAAUUUGAAUGCCCUAGCACUAAGUUGAUUCCACAGGUGCAUAAACUUCUUCUUCUGGAAUUUAAAAUAAAAAAGCAAACCGUUUAUUAGUGUAAUCGUUUUGCUUGACUCGGGCGUUAAAAUAUUUGGACAAAGCGAAAACGUUUUAAAAUGCUUAAAUGUAAAUACAAGUUCAUUAAAUUCCCAGGCGUGUAAUCACGCGCGUUUAAGAGCGGCUUAAGAACAAUGAGAUAAUUUCUAC